Molecule: ribosomal RNA, 253 nt
Filed under: uncultured bacterium
Lineage: Bacteria
Description: partial 16S ribosomal RNA
Rfam family: Bacterial small subunit ribosomal RNA
Source: RNAcentral
UACGUAGGGGGCAAGCGUUGUCCGGAUUUAUUGGGCGUAAAGAGCGUGUAGGCGGCUUGACAGGUCUGCUGUGAAAACUCGAGGCUCAACCUCGAGAUGUCGGCGGAAACCGUCUGGCUAGAGUCCGGAAGAGGAGACUGGAAUUCCUGGUGUAGCGGUGAAAUGCGCAGAUAUCAGGAGGAACACCGGUGGCGAAGGCGGCUACCUGGACCGGUUCUGACGCUGAGGCGCGAAAGCGUGGGGAGCAAACAGG